UUGUUUGAUAUUACGUCUCACCUUCAUUAUCACACCUGCUACCCUGCUGAUUGAAGUGGAACAGCCGGGUUAGAAUAUUUAGUGGUCCUGCUGGAGCCCUCUUGUAUUUCUUCUUCUUCUUCUGUUCUCAGCUAAAGGUAUUUGUGCAGCAAAAACUGUUGGAUCUAUAAACACCAAAAUUGGCAGGGAAUUAUUGGAAAUAGUGGUCAAAGGUGCGCUCACCUUUGCUCGCGCAGUGAAAAGCAGGAGGAGAGGAAAAUAUGCCGAGACGUGGCUGUGUGGAUCGAUACCGGACUCUGCGCUGCAGCUGGCAGGCUUCCAACUCCGGAUCGUGACACAGAACUCUCCAGCAAAACAAAGGGUGGAUGUAUCUGUUUUAACACCAACAGUAGCUGGUGUAAUGAUGUGACAGUGAUCCAACAGCACUGCUCUCCUAAUCUUUAAUCUUUCUUCAUUAACUGCAAACCUUUCUAUGCCUUGUGCUUUCCCACCUCAAAGCCAUCACAGACCCACUCCUGGACCCCCUGCAGUUCGCCUACAGAGCCAGCUGGUCUUUAAACGAUGCAGUAAACAUGGCCCAGCACUUCACCAUCCAGCAUCUGGACUCCCCAGGAACCUAUGCCAGGAUCCUGUUACAGGACAAGCUCUCCCAGCUCCCUGAUUCCACCUGCAGCUGGAUCACAGACUUCUUGCUUGACAGGAAACAGCACGUGAAGCUGGGGAAAAAUGUCUCUGACUCUCAAACCAUCAGCACCAGAUCUCCCCAAGGCUGUGUUCUUUCUCCUUUGCUCUUCUCCCUAUACACCAACAGCUGCACCUCCAGUCACCAGUCCAUCAGGCUCCUGAAGUUUGCAGAUGACACCUCCCUCAUUGGGCCCAUCUCUGGUGGAGAUAAUAAUAAUAAUAUUAGCACUGGAAGUCAAGCAGGACCAUAGCAGUAGGCACAACCAGGAUCCAUGAGAACCUGCAAGACGAGAAAGCACAGAAACUUUCUAUCUAUAUAAAGUAUAUAUAUAAAACUAUAUAAUAUUUUUUUUUCCAAAUCUUUAGGGGGCCUGUUACCCAGGGGUUGUUGGGGUCUGAAAGAUAACAAGUUAAUGUGGGAUAGUAGACCCUCAAACAUAGAAAGGCUAAUCCAUAUAUAAUAUAAAAUCUUAUAUUUUACUCUGUUUUCCAGUCCAGUUACAUCUAGAGAUAACUUUAUCCCACUCCACAAAAAAAAUUUAAAUAAUUUCUUCUAAUCUAGGUAAGUCAAUAGGCAAAAAUACAUUUUACAAAUUUCUUGUCCCAGCCCAACUGAUAGCUAGAGCGAAGAUACUCAGGAGGAUUAUGGUGGAUAUUAAGUAUCUGAGUAUGACCCGUAUUCAUCAAGCACUGACAUCAGCUCAAAUAGAGAAUCUGUUGGGCUCGACAGGUACACAAGAAUAUCAUCCGCAAAUAGGGCCAGUUUUUGUUCCCCUGCAGCCAAUUUUAUGCCUUUAAUGGUAUUGUUUUAUCUAAUCCAUUGUGCCACUGGUUCAAGGAAAAUCAAAAAACAAAACUACGUGGGCAACCCUGUCUUGUAGAUCUCUCUAACAGAAAAGCCAGUAAGCUCUCCAUUGAUUUUUAAUUGAGCUGAUUUGAUUGAGCCUGCUUGAGGCUUCUAGUUUUUAAAUAAUUUCUUGAUUAAACCCAAAUGUCUCCAUAACCCCAGAAAUGUCCAUCUAACAGAGUCAACAGCAUAGUCUGUAUUUUGUUUUGAUUUUGUCUUAUGAUUUGGAAGGAUCUUCUUAUGUUAUCAUGAGUGUGACGUGACAGAACAAAACCUGUUUGGUCCAUAUGAAUUAUUUUGGGUAGUCUUUUAGCAAUGAUUGAUGUAAACAAUUUGCAGUCAAGAUAUUAGAACACUAAUUGGUCUGUAGUUUGCACAUUCCAAUGUAUCUUUCCCCCCUUGGGUAUAAUUGAAAUAAUGGCUUUCCAUGAUGCUAGAGUUUCCCCUUUUGUCAGAACCCAGUUGAAUGUUCUCAGUAAAAUAAGUGUCAGGGCCUCUUUAGACUUUUAUAACAUUCCAAAGUGAAUCUGUUUGUGCCUGGGGACUUGUUAGCUUUCAAUCUGGAUAUAGCAGAGUACAUUUCUUCUUUUGUUAUAAGUGUGUGAAUGUGUAUGAAUGUGUUAGUUUCUGUUUGAUGGGCUUUGCCAUCACUGAGUGAAUGUGUGUGAAAGAGUGAAUGUGGCACGUAGUGUAAAAGCGCUUUGAGUGGUCAGCGGACUAUUAAGGCACUAUACAAGUACAAGUCCAUUUACCAUUACCAAUUACGUUGCUCUCAAUGUACAAACACAGACUAACAGCAUCAAUAAAUAGAACAAGUUCAACAAAAAAGACAUAGACUUAAGUGCACGUUUAUACAUAUAUAUAAACAAACAUUUGUAGACAGUAGACAAUAGUGCAAUGGAUGCUGAAAUAAAUAUUUUACGUGCAGGUAUCUUUAUGUACAUGGGCUAGGUAGAUAUGACUACUGUAGUACAUACAGUAUGCGCAGCAUAGGUAGACGCACGCCCGCCGAUAGGGGGGGACAAACAGGUCUGUUGUCCCGGGCCCAGGGUAGGGGCGGGGGGCCAGAACUGGGCCCUUAUUAAAUUAUGGAAUCAUUUUUUACAUUUUUUUUAAAUAGCCCUAUUUGUGGGGAAAAAAAGUGUAAUGUUUGAGUUACAUAACAUCUUUCUAUUUGUGUUCUUCCUAAUUGUCCUUGAAAUAGUGGUCAAGAACCCCCCCACCCCCAACACAAAAAUGGUUUGGCCACUGAUCAAAUUUGAUGUUGUUGUUGAUUUGAAGUUCAGUACGCUAAAAAAGUCCGGCCAGCACAUGUCCGGUGCUCAGAAAAGGAAAGAAAAGAGAAGAAAAGAAAAAAAUAAAGAGGCCUUGGAGAUUUUAAAUAUUUAAAAAAAAAGGUGGUGACGGUGAAGCUGGAACUGGUAAAGUUAACGUAGAGCAAGGUAAGAAACAGCGCAGCCAACGUUUACCAGCCUUGUAACGUAACAGGCCAGCUCUAAUGUUAACGUCCAUAAGCUUGUAUAAAAGCCUGACACAACACGUUAUCUUUGACAGAAACAGUUUAGUUUGGUAGCUCCGUCAGAGAGGAUAAGACAGAGAGGAGAGAGAUCCAGCUGCAGGCAGGUGACAGAGAGAGUAACGCGGGAGGGGCCCACUGCCCCGCAACGGAGGGACAGUCAGGCUACAGGUGAGAGAGAGAGAGAGAGUCACAGUGGAGCGGGAGGGGCCCGCUGCCCUGCCUGAGAGUCUGAGCAGAAUGGAUCAGAGAUCACACUUAAUUUCAGCAAUCCUGCAUUAUGGCCAACUAGAAUGACCAACUCUGAUAGAGUGAACCUCGUACGCGUGAUGGCGCCUUUCACAGAGAGGGCAAAGGAAUUGCCAGCAGAUGCAGAGGGCAGGGAAUUCCCAAACUAUCUGACAUAUUCCACAUCCCACAAUGGAAGGGAAAAAAUCGAUAGGGACUGGAUAGUAUAGCAGCUCAAAAAGGCCUUGUUUUACCUACCAUGCUUGCUGUUCUCCUUUGAAGUAGAGAAAAAGUCAACUAGUGCACUAAAUUCCAGAAAUUUACAGAAAGCUUUAUGAGAGAUUUCCAGAACAUGACAGAAACCGUGCACACAAACAUUGUUAUUGGAAGGAGAGGAAGAGCAGAGGAAAAGGAGAGAUCUGGGCGUGGGGGGGACGUAUUAGAAUAGUAUUUAUGUUUUAUGUUUUAAAAAGAAAAGAAAUUAGGCAGGUUGACCUUCCUGAGCUGGUGCAGGAAGUACAACCUCUGCUGGGCCUUCUUGAUGAAUGUAUCUACCCCAGUAUGCCAUCUAUUCUCUGCCAGAUCGUUCAGUCUUCAAUUCUUACACCUCACCUGCCUUCGUGCCUGCCUUUGUACCUGCCUGCAAGCCUGCUAUCUUCAGUAAGACAUCUCCUCAACCCUCUCAUUAUCAUCUCCAUCACACUUUUUGGAAAUAAAGCAACUUAACUACA
Dicentrarchus labrax (European seabass) is the source of this 4006-nucleotide long non-coding RNA. RefSeq lists it as uncharacterized. Lineage: Eukaryota; Metazoa; Chordata; Actinopteri; Moronidae. The transcript has 3 exons. The record is from RefSeq and is a predicted model, not a curated record.